AUUGAACGCUGGCGGCAGGCCUAACACAUGCAAGUCGAGCGGAUGAAGGGAGCUUGCUCCUGGAUUCAGCGGCGGACGGGUGAGUAAUGCCUAGGAAUCUGCCUGGUAGUGGGGGAUAACGUCCGGAAACGGGCGCUAAUACCGCAUACGUCCUGAGGGAGAAAGUGGGGGAUCUUCGGACCUCACGCUAUCAGAUGAGCCUAGGUCGGAUUAGCUAGUUGGUGGGGUAAAGGCCUACCAAGGCGACGAUCCGUAACUGGUCUGAGAGGAUGAUCAGUCACACUGGAACUGAGACACGGUCCAGACUCCUACGGGAGGCCGCAGUGGGGAAUAUUGGACGAUGGGCGAAAGCCUGAUCCAGCAAUGCCGCGUGUGUGAAGAAGGUCUUCGGAUUGUAAAGCACUUUAAGUUGGGAGGAAGGGCAGUAAGUUAAUACCUGACGGUUUUGACGUUACCAACAGAAUAAGCACCGGCUAACUUCGUG
RNAcentral lists this ribosomal RNA (484 nucleotides) under uncultured bacterium. Its description in RNAcentral is "partial 16S ribosomal RNA". It matches the Rfam family "Bacterial small subunit ribosomal RNA", at positions 30 to 507 of the family's 1533-position model. The record is from RNAcentral.